This is a long non-coding RNA of Temnothorax curvispinosus, 354 nucleotides long. RefSeq lists it as uncharacterized. The transcript is spliced from 3 exons. The record is from RefSeq and is a predicted model, not a curated record. NCBI's taxonomy places the organism in Eukaryota, Metazoa, Arthropoda, Insecta, Hymenoptera, Formicidae.
AGGGUCGUGCAAAACAUGCGCAAGUUUCAAAAUUACAUUGGUAGGAUGAUGGAAGUACCCUGUAGAACAUUACAGGAUACAUGAAUAAGAAGGAGCAAGGGUUUGUCAAAAUAGAACUUGAAGAGAAGAAAAUUUUCGAAAGAGAGAGGAAGAGAUUGAUUCGAAGGAAGGAGAAAUAAGCCGAUAUCAAAAUACAUUACGGAUUGAAAGGCUCCAGCAUGGGCUCAUUCUUCAGCUCAUUAUUCAGCAACAACCUUCCUCCAAACACCAUGCAAAAUCAUAAGCUUCUGUUAGACGCCAUAGGACGCAAGGACUUACAAUCUUUCGAACAGAUUGUGAAGGAAAUGUUGGAAA